GGCUCUUCAAUGAUAGGUACACAACUAAUAAUAUCUGAUCCUCCUCUUUUAAUUGAGUUCUCCUCAAUUGGAGGUAAUGGCAUGGGAUCAAUAACUAUGCCAGGGCUUCUUUCUGUUCUUAAAGGAACCGUUGAAGUCACUAUACUCUUCUCUUCUGGCCCAGGUAGUGCAAGCCUUGCACUUGCAAAGGCGCUAGCAAAAUGUCUGCACUCUGCUCUCAUUGGACAUGCAUUGCAAUUUGGUUUAUUCUUUGUGC
RNAcentral lists this unclassified non-coding RNA (256 nucleotides) under Hevea brasiliensis (rubber tree). The record is from RNAcentral. Lineage: Eukaryota; Viridiplantae; Streptophyta; Magnoliopsida; Malpighiales; Euphorbiaceae.